CGCGUAGGCGGUGUACUAAGUCAGGCGUGAAAGCCCUGGGCUCAACCCGGGAAUUGCGCUUGAUACUGGUACGCUUGAAUCCAGGAGAGGUUGGUGGAAUUCCCAGUGUAGAGGUGAAAUUCGUAGAGAUUGGGAAGAACACCGGUGGCGAAGGCGGCCAACUGGACUGGUAUUGACGCUGAGGCGCGAAAGCGUGGGGAAGCAAACAG
This 209-nucleotide ribosomal RNA is filed under the name uncultured bacterium. RNAcentral describes it as "partial 16S ribosomal RNA". It matches the Rfam family "Bacterial small subunit ribosomal RNA", at positions 568 to 775 of the family's 1533-position model. The record is from RNAcentral.